UCGUAACAAGGUUUCCGUAGGUGAACCUGCGGAAGGAUC
RNAcentral lists this ribosomal RNA (39 nucleotides) under Pezicula heterochroma. RNAcentral describes it as "partial 18S ribosomal RNA". Lineage: Eukaryota; Fungi; Ascomycota; Leotiomycetes; Helotiales; Dermateaceae. RNAcentral also lists the same sequence under 2 other names. The record is from RNAcentral.